Molecule: long non-coding RNA, 1110 nt
Organism: Megalobrama amblycephala (Wuchang bream)
Lineage: Eukaryota; Metazoa; Chordata; Actinopteri; Cypriniformes; Xenocyprididae
Exons: 3
Source: RefSeq, a predicted model, not a curated record
UGUAAAUUUUACCUGCCACAAGAUGGCACUAGUAACAGCAAUUUAAUUACUGUUUUCGACACUCUUGAUGCUUUGAAACUUCCCGCAUUUAGAGAAAAGCUUCAAAGAUUUAAGAGGCUUCAUUUCUUCAUCCCUACUCAAUAGUUUUAGACGUUUUUGCAAAUGUUUCAAUCGAAUUUAGCUGUUUUAGAGAGCAUCUACUCAUUUUGAUCCUGUUUUUAAACAUGAGCUAUUUGUAAUGUCAUUUUUCAUGUGUGGGACAAAAGAGACGAAACUAAACUAGCCAAUCAGAUUUCUGUUAACCCAUAUCCCCUAUCACCCUUGCACGCACACAUACACACAUUUGACUUUACAACACACAAAUGCACACCUUUAUUUAUUCUCGUUUUCUCUUGCUUUCUCCUGCCAUGUCAUGAGUGUAUGCAGCUAAAAUUUUAAUAAUCAAUUUUAAAAAAUUAUGUAAAAAAUAAAAACGGCAUUAAUUAGCGCCCUCUCAUGCGUACGGCUGCAGGCGCCAAUCUGUGUGUGUGGGUGUGUGCUUGCGUGUGUGUGUGUGUGUGUGUGUGUGUGUUUUCCGUCCAUAUAAUUUAAUAAAAGUUAACGUUACCGCAGAGCCAUAGAGAUGGCUAUGCGUUGCCGGUUAUCAUUCACGCAAAUGGCUUCGCCAACAACCAAUCACAUCGCGAGCUAGAUCAUCUUUGUGUCACGAACGUUCUAAAUUCCACGUCAUAGCGUCAUAAGCAGAAGUUCUGUAUAAAAGUGUCAGAAACUCCCUCUCCUGCUCAGAGGUCUCUGUGUUAUGCUUUCUCACGGGAUAGCUGUUUUGGACGGUGCUGGGUGUUGGUAGGAGCUGUCCUUCCACGCCAUAUCUAUGGGAAUGACCCACAGCGUCAGCAGUGAAGAAGAUCAGCUUCGCUAGGAGGGUGUCAGAUGGGGUCCACUGCUGCUUCUCGUGAGUUGUAGAGACGCGAGUCCAGGCCAAGAUCCUCCCUGGCUGUGAAUCCCACCGUCAGGAGAAAACUGGUCCCUCUCAAAGACAGUGAGACAGAGGACGUCCUGAUACAGGUCUUUGAUGAAGAAGUGGCAAUUGAAGUUCCAUUUGGGGUUGAG